This 434-nucleotide ribosomal RNA is filed under the name uncultured bacterium. RNAcentral's name for it is "partial 16S ribosomal RNA". It matches the Rfam family "Bacterial small subunit ribosomal RNA", at positions 29 to 507 of the family's 1533-position model. The record is from RNAcentral.
AGCGAACGCUGGCGGCAGGCCUAACACAUGCAAGUCGAACGAACCUUUCGGGGUUAGUGGCGGACGGGUGAGUAACACGUGGGAACGUGCCUUUAGGUUCGGAAUAACUCAGGGAAACUUGUGCUAAUACCGAAUGUGCCCUUCGGGGGAAAGAUUUAUCGCCUUUAGAGCGGCCCGCGUCUGAUUAGCUAGUUGGUUGAGGUAAUGGCUCACCAAGGCGACGAUCAGUAGCUGGUCUGAGAGGAUGAUCAGCCACAUUGGGACUGAGACACGGCCCAAACUCCUACGGGAGGCAGCAGUGGGGAAUCUUGCGCAAUGGGCGAAAGCCUGACGCAGCAAUGCCGCGUGAAUGAUGAAGGUCUUAGGAUUGUAAAAUUCUUUCACCGGGGACGAUAAUGACGGUACCCGGAGAAGAAGCCCCGGCUAACUUCGUG